This 207-nucleotide ribosomal RNA is filed under the name uncultured bacterium. RNAcentral describes it as "partial 16S ribosomal RNA". It matches the Rfam family "Bacterial small subunit ribosomal RNA", at positions 568 to 774 of the family's 1533-position model. The record is from RNAcentral.
UGCGUAGGCGGCUUCGUGUGUCGGAGGUGAAAUACAGCGGCUCAACCGUUAGACUGCCCCCGAAACUGCGAGGCUUGAGUCCGUGAGAGGUUGGUGGAAUUCCUGGUGUAACGGUGAAAUGUGCAGAUAUCAGGAAGAACACCCGUGGCGAAGGCGGCCAACUGGCACGGUACUGACGCUGAGGCACGAAAGCUAGGGUAUCGAACG